This 407-nucleotide ribosomal RNA is filed under the name Candidatus Berkelbacteria bacterium. Its description in RNAcentral is "bacterial SSU rRNA". It matches the Rfam family "Bacterial small subunit ribosomal RNA", at positions 1 to 403 of the family's 1533-position model. The record is from RNAcentral. Lineage: Bacteria; Candidatus Berkelbacteria.
UUUAUGAAGAGUUUGAUCCUGGCUCAGGAUGAACGCUGGCGGUGUGCCUAAGAUAUGCAAGUCGAACGCUCAUCGUUUAUUGAUUCCUUCGGGAUGAAAUAAACAUUAUGGUGAGAGUGGCAAACGGGUGAGUAACAGGUGGGAAUUUACCUUCUGGUGGGGAAUAACUAGUCGAAAGAUUAGCUAAUACCGCAUAGUCUCGCAAGAGUAAAGCUUUUGCGCCAGAAGACAAGCCCGCCUCCUAUCAGCUAGUUGGUAAGGUAAAAGCUUACCAAGGCUCCGACGGGUAGGGGGACUGAGAGGUUGACCCCCCACAAUGGCACUGAGACACGGGCCAUACACCUACGGGUGGCAGCAAUUAGGAAUCUUGCGCAAUGGACGAAAGUCUGACGCAGCGACGCCGCGUG